Molecule: ribosomal RNA, 494 nt
Filed under: uncultured bacterium
Lineage: Bacteria
Description: partial 16S ribosomal RNA
Rfam family: Bacterial small subunit ribosomal RNA
Source: RNAcentral
GACGAACGCUGGCGGCGCGCUUAACAUAUGCAAGUCGAACGGAAAGGCCUGCUUUCCCUUGUGGAUUGCGGGUACUCGAGUGGCGAACGGGUGAGUAACACGUGAGUGAUCUGCCCCCAACUUGGGUAUAAGCCUGGGAAACUGGGUCUAAUUCCCGAUAGGACUGCAGGGUGGUGCCUGUGGUGGAAAACGAUUUUCUAGUGGUUGGGGAUGAGCGCGCGGCCUAUCAGCUUGUUGGUGGGGUAAUGGCCUACCAAGGCUGCGACGGGUAGCCGGCCUGAGAGGGUGGACGGCCACAUUGGGACUGAGAGACGGCCCAGACUCCUACGGGAGGCAGCAGUGGGGAAUAUUGCACAAUGGGCGGAAGCCUGAUGCAGCGACGCCGCGUGGGGGAUGACGGCCUUCGGGUUGUAAACUCCUUUCGACCGCGAGGAAGCCACCUGGUUGGAAGGGUGGUGACGGUAGUGGUAGAAGAAGCACCGGCUAACUACGUG